GAAAUGCGAUAAGUAAUGUGAAUUGCAGAAUUCAGUGAAUCAUCGAAUCUUUGAACGCACAUUGCACCCGAUGGCAUUCCGGUGGGCAGGCCUGUCGGAGCGUCAUUUCUGCCCUCAAGCGCGGCUUGUUGGUUGAGUGUGGUCCCCCCGAUGUCAGGGGGGACCUGCCCGAAAGGCAGUGGCGGCGCCCGCCUUCGGUCCUCGAGCGUAUGGGGCUAUGUCACCCGCUCGGGAGGGGCCUGCGGGCGUUGGUCAUCCCCCCCUAUUUUUCCACGGUUGACCUCGGAUCAGGUAGGAGUUACCCGCUGAACUUAA
RNAcentral lists this unclassified non-coding RNA (315 nucleotides) under uncultured Talaromyces. Its description in RNAcentral is "sequence contains ITS1". The stretch from base 1 to 105 matches the Rfam family "5.8S ribosomal RNA", at positions 50 to 154 of the family's 154-position model. The record is from RNAcentral. Lineage: Eukaryota; Fungi; Ascomycota; Eurotiomycetes; Eurotiales; Trichocomaceae.